CUAAUACCGCAUACGAUCUAUGGAUGAAAGCGGGGGAUCGCAAGACCUCGCGCGAUUGGAGCGGCCGAUAUCAGAUUAGGUAGUUGGUGGGGUAAAGGCCCACCAAGCCAACGAUCUGUAGCUGGUCUGAGAGGACGACCAGCCACACUGGAACUGAGACACGGUCCAGACUCCUACGGGAGGCAGCAGUGGGGAAUUUUGGACAAUGGGCGCAAGCCUGAUCCAGCCAUUCCGCGUGCAGGAUGAAGGCCCUCGGGUUGUAAACUGCUUUUGUACAGAACGAAAAGGUUUCUACUAAUACUAGGAGCUCAUGACGGUACUGUAAGAAUAAGCACCGGCUAACUACGUGCCAGCAGCCGCGGUAAUACGUAGGGUGCAAGCGUUAAUCGGAAUUACUGGGCGUAAAGCGUGCGCAGGCGGUUAUAUAAGUCAGAUGUGAAAUCCCCGGGCUCAACCUGGGAACUGCAUUUGAGACUGUAUAGCUAGAGUACGGCAGAGGGGGAUGGAAUUCCGCGUGUAGCAGUGAAAUGCGUAGAUAUGCGGAGGAACACCGAUGGCGAAGGCAAUCCCCUGGGCCUGUACUGACGCUCAUGCACGAAAGCGUGGGGAGCAAACAGGAUUAGAUACCCUGGUAGUCCACGCCCUAAACGAUGUCAACUGGUUGUUGGGUCUUAACUGACUCAGUAACGAAGCUAACGCGUGAAGUGACCGCC
RNAcentral lists this ribosomal RNA (713 nucleotides) under Betaproteobacteria bacterium PW-1A. Its description in RNAcentral is "bacterial SSU rRNA". It matches the Rfam family "Bacterial small subunit ribosomal RNA", at positions 163 to 873 of the family's 1533-position model. Lineage: Bacteria; Pseudomonadati; Pseudomonadota; Betaproteobacteria. The record is from RNAcentral.